GAAAAAUGUUAACAGCAAAACCGUUUUUUAUGGACUUCACAUACACGACCAGGCAGGAUUCUUUUGCAUUUGAGUGGUAGAGCAGUCAUCGUUAGAGUGUAAUCAAAAUGCAAAAACUAACAUAAAGUAUCGAGACUCAAUAAUACUGCGAUAUGCACAGCAAAAAUCAUUAGUUCAAAGGUGAAGGCGGCGCGAAAUUUUGCUUUGGCCUCCGCAGCCAUAAUUGCACCAACACGCUUCUGCAAGGACGUCUUGCAAAUGGAACUUACAAUGCUAAAACAGGAACUUGAAAGGAUGAAAGAGGAAGUUAAAGUAAAUAAGGCAAUUAUGAAAAAAAGGAAGAAUGACAAAGACUUAAGUAAAAAGAUAAGAGAUAAACUUAAAAUGAUGAAUUACAAAUUGAUAAAGACAAUGAGUGGCAUUGAGAAAGACAGGUUUUAAAAAAUCCAAAGCCAUUACUAGACUUCAAUUUAGAAAUGGGGUGUGUAUUAGUACAUUAAAAUGUACCUGGUUGAUUUCUUUACGGAAUGAAAUUCAUUUAAAAACCAAAUAGAUCACUCGCAAUAAAUAAAGUACUUUAAGUCACCUGUAACUGAGUUUAUGAUGAUAUGGGAAAUACAAUGGCGUAGCCAACUUGUAAAUUUGUGACAAAAAUUUUAAAUUGACGUUAUAUAUGUCGACAUUGUAUAUACGUUAUAUAUAUUGACAUCAUAUUUGAAUUGUUA
Long non-coding RNA from Xenia sp. Carnegie-2017, 725 nucleotides. RefSeq lists it as uncharacterized. The transcript is spliced from 2 exons. The record is from RefSeq and is a predicted model, not a curated record. Lineage: Eukaryota; Metazoa; Cnidaria; Anthozoa; Malacalcyonacea; Xeniidae.